This 486-nucleotide ribosomal RNA is filed under the name uncultured bacterium. Its description in RNAcentral is "partial 16S ribosomal RNA". It matches the Rfam family "Bacterial small subunit ribosomal RNA", at positions 30 to 507 of the family's 1533-position model. The record is from RNAcentral.
AUUGAACGCUGGCGGCAUGCCUUACACAUGCAAGUCGAACGGCAGCACGGGUGCUUGCACCUGGUGGCGAGUGGCGAACGGGUGAGUAAUACAUCGGAACAUGUCCUGUAGUGGGGGAUAGCCCGGCGAAAGCCGGAUUAAUACCGCAUACGAUCCACGGAUGAAAGCGGGGGACCUUCGGGCCUCGCGCUAUAGGGUUGGCCGAUGGCUGAUUAGCUAGUUGGUGGGGUAAAGGCCUACCAAGGCGACGAUCAGUAGCUGGUCUGAGAGGACGACCAGCCACACUGGGACUGAGACACGGCCCAGACUCCUACGGGAGGCAGCAGUGGGGAAUUUUGGACAAUGGGCGAAAGCCCGAUCCAGCAAUGCCGCGUGUGUGAAGAAGGCCUUCGGGUUGUAAAGCACUUUUGUCCGGAAAGAAAUCCUUGGCUCUAAUACAGUCGGGGGAUGACGGUACCGGAAGAAUAAGCACCGGCUAACUACGUG